AUUGAACGCUGGCGGCAUGCCUUACACAUGCAAGUCGAACGGUAACGGGCCUUCGGGUGCCGACGAGUGGCGCACGGGUGAGUAAUACAUCGGAACGUGCCCGAUCGUGGGGGAUAACGAGGCGAAAGCUUUGCUAAUACCGCAUACGAUCUACGGAUGAAAGCAGGGGACCGCAAGGCCUUGCGCGGACGGAGCGGCCGAUGGCAGAUUAGGUAGUUGGUGGGAUAAAAGCUUACCAAGCCGACGAUCUGUAGCUGGUCUGAGAGGAUGAUCAGCCACACUGGGACUGAGACACGGCCCAGACUCCUACGGGAGGCAGCAGUGGGGAAUGUUGGACAAUGGGCGCAAGCCUGAUCCAGCCAUGCCGCGUGCAGGAUGAAGGCCUUCGGGUUGUAAACUGCUUUUGUACGGAACGAAAAGCCUUCUUUUAAUACAGGAGGGUCAUGACGGUACCGUAAGAAUGAGCACCGGCUAACUACGUG
RNAcentral lists this ribosomal RNA (482 nucleotides) under uncultured bacterium. RNAcentral describes it as "partial 16S ribosomal RNA". It matches the Rfam family "Bacterial small subunit ribosomal RNA", at positions 30 to 507 of the family's 1533-position model. The record is from RNAcentral.